Otolemur garnettii (small-eared galago) is the source of this 491-nucleotide long non-coding RNA. RefSeq lists it as uncharacterized. The transcript is spliced from 3 exons. Lineage: Eukaryota; Metazoa; Chordata; Mammalia; Primates; Galagidae. The record is from RefSeq and is a predicted model, not a curated record.
UGCCUGCGUCUUCCACAGACUUGUCCCAAGAACCCUCCUGGAAGGGAGCAAGCCUGGCAAAUCCGAGCGUCAGAGAGCCUGGAGCGCGGCGACAGCUGGGUGGUAUUCGGUCCCAUCCGAAUAAGCGAGUCUAAUGCCUCCAGCAGCAGAAGCUCAGCAGGAACCUGGAUAGCCGUGUUUCUCCUGAUGUUGAUAGGCUGGAUACUGGGCUAAGAUCUUGCCCUCAACUCUAGUCCUUGGCCUCUAGUUUACUUGCCUGAAGCAAGAGUGGAGUGGAAGAAUAUUUAGGGAGAGGCAAGUAAUCUGUCCUCUUGGCAGGGACCAGAGAGGUUGGGGGUGAAAAGGGGACUGUGUGGCCCAACUAUUGUUGGUAUGGAGUGUGACUGCUGAAUAUUUGGCUGUGUUUCCUCAUCCCACCUUCUUUUCUCAUCUCUGAAACUCUUCAGAGGAAUGUUGGGUUGCUCAAUAUGGUGGGAGAUGCAGAGGGUAUG